GGAAGCGGAAGACUAAUGACCGAAGCUUCAAGACUUUGACAUGUGUGAAAACAUGAAAUGACCCUUGGCUCUUAUUGUUCUUGCUGGUGUGGUAUGUUCACGGCUGAAAAGGUGGUCAGAAGGGGAAAGGAGGAAGUGAGAAGAAAGAAACAGGGAAAUGACAGAGUGUUGCUCAGUUGCCCAGGCUAGAGUGCAAUGGCAUGAUCUUGGCUCACUGCAGCCUCCACCUCCUGGGUUCAAGUGAUUCUCGUGCCUCAGUCUCCCAAGUAGCUGGGAUUACAGGUAUGCACCACCACGCCCAGCCAAUUUUGUAUUUUUAGUAGAGGCAGGGUUUCACCAUGUUGGCUAAGCUGGUCUUGAACUCCUGACCUCUGGUGAUCUUCCUGCCUCGGCCUCUCAGAGUGCUGGGAUUACAGGCAUGAGCCACCCAGCCCGGCCUGAAAUACAUUUAAAUAAAUGAAGAUGGAGAAUCAGACAUUACUUUCAUUUAUCUGAAUCUGGUGCAGUUUAAUUAAUCUAUAAUUGUAAGUCUUUGAAUCAUAUGUCAAUAUUCUGUUUUGUUAGUCAUGAUUUCUAAGUGUUGCAUAACUGUGGCCCCAGCCACUUUAUAUUUUGGUAUCAUGACAGAAGAAUCUGAUUGUGGUUAUUUUCUACCUAUGCAUUUAUUCUUAGUGAUAUAUGCUGGUUAAAUUAUGGGAUAGUUUUAAAAUACAUGACAAAAAUAGCUAAGAGUAAAGAAAUGUCUUUGUUUCUGGUUGAAUAAACUGACCACACAAGGUUCCAAUUUAAAAUAAAUUCUAAACGAAUCAUGUUAUUUUCCAAAACUGUUCCUCCUCUCAGUAAAUGAAAUCAAUAUCCACCCAGUUACCCCAAGACAGAAAUCUCAAGAUCAUCUGUGACUCCUUCCUCUUCAUCUGCCACAAGUAGAGUAGCUUCUGUCUCCAAAGCCAGUCUCUGAUCAGUCCACUUCUCUUCCUAUAGCCUCUGCUUUAGUUCAAAUCUAGAAUCCUGCUGUGGUGGUGCUGUGGCUUCCAAGUUUCUCUUCCUCCAAUCCAUUCUCUAAACUACAGUCUUGCUCUUUCUAAGACGCAGAUCUUAUAAUUUUACUUCCCUUCGUAGGUUGAAUUUAACCUGCUAAAUCACGUCAAAAUUUUUCUGAAGAUACCAGCCUUUCUGCCUUAAUCAAACACAUUAGCCAAAUCCAUAGCAUUACUGGGAUAAAGCCUGAAGAUCCCAAAUUGAUAAGGCAUCUGGAUUCCCUUUGAUAACAAUAUUCAAUAACAAUGAACACCUACUGAGUAUACUAUUCCAAGCAUUAUAAGUGUAUUAACUCUUUUUACAAAAUCAACAAUAAUUAUUAUUGCUACCAUUUAUUGACAGCGUACUUUAAUCCAGGUGUUACAUAUUCAUUUAUUCAUUAUUAUUAUUUUUUUUUUUUUGAGACGAAAUCUUGCUCUGUUGCCCAGGCUGGAGCGCGAUGGCAUGAUCAUGGCUCACGGCAAAGUCCGCCUCCCUGGUUCAAGUGAUUCUCCUGCCUCAGCCUCCUGAGUAGCUGGGAUUACAGGCAUGUGCCACCAUGCCCCGUUGGCCAGGCUGGUCUCGAACACCUUACCUCAGGUGAUCCUCCCGCCUUUGGGAUUACAG
Long non-coding RNA from Pongo pygmaeus (Bornean orangutan), 1644 nucleotides. RefSeq lists it as uncharacterized. The record is from RefSeq and is a predicted model, not a curated record. The transcript is spliced from 3 exons. Lineage: Eukaryota; Metazoa; Chordata; Mammalia; Primates; Hominidae.